RNAcentral lists this ribosomal RNA (253 nucleotides) under uncultured bacterium. RNAcentral's name for it is "partial 16S ribosomal RNA". It matches the Rfam family "Bacterial small subunit ribosomal RNA", at positions 524 to 776 of the family's 1533-position model. The record is from RNAcentral.
UACGUAGGCAGCGAGCGUUGUUCGGAAUUACUGGGCGUAAAGAGUGUGUAGGCGGUGCUCUAAGUUCGGUGUGAAAUCUCCCGGCUUAACUGGGAGGGUGCGCCGGAAACUGGAGUGCUCGAGCGUGGGAGAGGAAAGCGGAAUUCCUGGUGUAGCGGUGAAAUGCGUAGAUAUCGGGAGGAACACCAGUGGCGAAGGCGAUCAUCUGGGGCUGUUCUGACACUGAGGAGCGAAAGCUAGGGGAGCAAACGGG